This 825-nucleotide ribosomal RNA is filed under the name uncultured fungus. Its description in RNAcentral is "eukaryotic LSU rRNA". The stretch from base 478 to 825 matches the Rfam family "Eukaryotic large subunit ribosomal RNA", at positions 1 to 345 of the family's 3401-position model. The record is from RNAcentral. Lineage: Eukaryota; Fungi.
GACCGGCCCCAACUCUUCACCCGUGUAUACCAAACUCACGUUGCUUUGGCGGGCCGCCGAACGCUUUCGCGGGAGGCCUUAAAACAAGCCUCCUCGUGCCCGCCGAAGGCCCCAAUAAAUCUGUUAUCAGUGUCGUCCGAGUCAAAACGCAAUAGUUAAAACUUUCAACAACGGAUCUCUUGGUUCCGGCAUCGAUGAAGAACGCAGCGAAAUGCGAAAAGUAAUGUGAAUUGCAGAAUUCCGUGAAUCAUCGAAUCUUUGAACGCACAUUGCGCCCUUUGGCAUUCCGAAGGGCAUGCCUGUUCGAGCGUCAUUACACCCCUCAAGCACUGCUUGGUAUUGGGCGUCGCCCCCGUGGCGGGCCCGGAUUUCAGUGGCGGUCCGGCGAGACUUCAAGCGUAGCAAGAUUUUCACAUCCCGCUUUGGAAGCCUUCUCGCCGUGCGCCGGCCAGACAAUCCCCUUAACAUACUCAUGAUUGACCUCGGAUCAGGUAGGGAUACCCGCUGAACUUAAGCAUAUCAAUAAGCGGAGGAAAAGAAACCAACAGGGAUUGCCUCAGUAACGGCGAGUGAAGCGGCAACAGCUCAAAUUUGAAAUCUGGCCCCUUCGGGGUCCGAGUUGUAAUUUGUAGAGGGUGUUUCGGGCGAGGCGUCGGCUUAAAGUUCCUUGGAACAGGGCGUCAUAGAGGGGUGAGAAUCCCGUAUGCGGCCGGCGACCGACCCCAUGUGAAACCCCUUCGACGAGUCGAGUUGUUUGGGAAUGCAGCUCAAAAUGGGUGGUAAAUUUCAUCUAAGCUAAAUACCGGCCGGAGACCGAUAGCGCAC